CCUACGGGAGGCAGCAGUGGGGAAUUUUGGACAAUGGGCGAAAGCCUGAUCCAGCAAUGCCGCGUGCAGGAUGAAGGCCUUCGGGUUGUAAACUGCUUUUGUACGGAACGAAACGGUUCGCCUUAAUACGGUGGGCUAAUGACGGUACCGUAAGAAUAAGCACCGGCUAACUACGUGCCAGCAGCCGCGGUAAUACGUAGGGUGCGAGCGUUAAUCGGAAUUACUGGGCGUAAAGCGUGCGCAGGCGGUUAUAUAAGACAGAUGUGAAAUCCCCGGGCUCAACCUGGGACCUGCAUUUGUGACUGUAUAGCUAGAGUACGGUAGAGGGGGAUGGAAUUCCGCGUGUAGCAGUGAAAUGCGUAGAUAUGCGGAGGAACACCGAUGGCGAAGGCAAUCCCCUGGACCUGUACUGACGCUCAUGCACGAAAGCGUGGGGAGCAAACAGGAUUAGAUACCCUGGUAGUCCACGCCCUAAACGAUGUCAACUGGUUGUUGGGUCUUCACUGACUCAGUAACGAAGCUAACGCGUGAAGUUGACCGCCUGGGGAGUCGGCCGCAAGGUUGAAACUCAAAAGUAGUAGUCGCGCGNGAGAGCGACGACGACGACGACGGAGGGAGGAGG
This 622-nucleotide ribosomal RNA is filed under the name uncultured bacterium. RNAcentral describes it as "bacterial SSU rRNA". It matches the Rfam family "Bacterial small subunit ribosomal RNA", at positions 338 to 957 of the family's 1533-position model. The record is from RNAcentral.